CCAAAAAAGGUCUCACCUUUAAAGGCCAUUCGCUAUAGUGAACUCUUUACCUAGUGUCCCUCAUCAUGGCAGUUCGUGCUGUCCGCCAGUUGAUAAAAUUUACUUACCGCGUAAGCGGGUGUAUGGUAACACUUCAUGCGCGACUAAUAAAGUGCCAGCAGUCGCGGUCAUACUUUAGCUAAAAGUAAAGAACAUUAGAGCUAUCUAGAUAUACUUAGGUGCCAGUGGUGAAAUACAGGCACCUAGAAACACUACUAUACCUAUGUAAUACAUAAAAGCUGAUACCAAACAGGGAUUAGAUACCCCUUUAUGCAGCUCGCGCAUUCAGUUCUGGGCACUCCCGCUUUAUAGCGUAAACCUAACUAGCAUGGCGGUAGACCAGAUAUUUAGGGGAACUUACUGGAUAAUUGAUAACCACCAAGAUCAUCUACGCUUGCUAACAUUCUACAUACCGUCGUCGUCAGAUAUACUAUAAUAGGGUGUCGCUAUAUAUAAAUAAAAAGACAGAUCAAGGCGUAGACAACGCAAGCGCCUUAGCGAGUUACUAUAGGUGCUCCCUUCAUUCACUUCCUUUAAAAGGAUCUAAUGUGGAGGACUUGAAAGUAAUCUAUAUUAAGUAUAUUGUAUGAAUA
This 632-nucleotide ribosomal RNA is filed under the name Amanica praecellens. RNAcentral's name for it is "partial small subunit ribosomal RNA". Lineage: Eukaryota; Metazoa; Mollusca; Gastropoda; Stylommatophora; Helicidae. The record is from RNAcentral.